GAGACUCUGUGCGCGUGCAUAUCAAUAAGCGGAGGAAAAGAAACUAACAAGGAUUCCCCUAGUAACGGCGAGUGAAGCGGGAAGAGCUCAAAUUUGAAAUCUUAAAGGGUUUCCCUUUACGAAUUGUAGUUUAAAGAAGUGUUUUCUGUUAGAGAGUUCGGUAAAAGUUCUUUGGAAUAGGACAUCAUAGAGGGUGAGAAUCCCGUAUUUGACCGUUACUUUCCAGCUGUGUGAUACACCUUCAAAGAGUCGGAUUGUCUGGGAAUGCAGUCCAAGAUGGGUGGUAAAUUUCAUCUAAAGCUAAAUAUUGGCGAGAGACCGAUAGCGAACAAGUACCGUGAGGGAAAGAUGAAAAGAACUUUGAAAAGAGAGUUAAACAGUACGUGAAAUUGUCAAAAGGGAAGCGUUUGACACCAGUGUUGUUUAGUUGAAAAUCAAUUCAAUAGUUUUUGAUUCUAAGUAGUAUUGACUUCAUCAGCUUGCUGCUUUCUUCUCAGAAAUUAUUGAAUGCACUUUUCAGUUAACAAGUCAACAUCAAUUUCUUUUGUUGUAAAAGGGUAAGAGGAAGGUGGCUUGCGCUUCGGCUCAAGUGUUUAUAGCCUUUUAUCUCUGCAAUCGGAGAGAUUGAGGUCUGCAGCGUAGAUCCUUCGGGGUUAGAUACAUUGGUGCUAAGCUAUAGCCUUGUAUAGACAACUUGUUGACUAUGCUCAGUCAUGUAGCUUACUCGCUGAUGCUAUUUUACCUACGCUUAGGAUGUUGAACUUAUCACACACAG
Molecule: ribosomal RNA, 775 nt
Filed under: uncultured Neocallimastigales
Lineage: Eukaryota; Fungi; Neocallimastigomycota; Neocallimastigomycetes; Neocallimastigales
Description: partial large subunit ribosomal RNA
Rfam family: Eukaryotic large subunit ribosomal RNA
Source: RNAcentral